GGAAUCUAAAAGGAACAUGGCUGCAGGCGAGGAGCAGUCUCAAAACAGCCACUUCCAGCCAGUACACACAAAUAAACCUGAACGCUGAACUUCAAGAGAACCUCGUAAAAAGAGAAUUUUUGCAAUUAAAGUCACAAUGUGAGAAUCCUUUAUAUUGACUUUAAAAUCAAGCCAGUAAUAGACAAAACCAUUAAAGUGACAGAGCCUGGAGCGACUGUGUGCUGCUUUACAAUGAAAUGGCUUGUUUUCUCAUACUUUGCUGCUGACACAGUUGCCAUAUUAGAACAAAAUAAAUGGUUAGCGUCCUUGUUAUUAUCUCUCUUAAACCCAGUUGAACGGUCUGAACGCCUGCCAUUGUUCAGUCUCUGUGAUAAGGGGCAUGUGAUUCACCACUACGGCUCAGUAAAUGAAGGAUGGAGAAAGCGCUCACUGGCACGGUGCCCGUCAGAUCGAGACGUCAGAGCCGCACACACUCACGCUGGCACGGGUCCCAUCGCUGCGUCCGCCCAUGCGAGGCCACCGGGCUGUGACGUUACAGAGGGAUAAUUUUGGGAUGACGCAUGCCGGUUCUCUGCGUGGAAUCAUUUUGGCUGCAUGGGUGAGAUUCCUUCCGUCCAUUGUACUCCCCUGAAAUGGAAGUUAUUUCGGGAAGAGCAUGUGCUAUAUAAGGUGAGCGCAACUACUGGAGAGAGAGACACCACUGGGGUAAAAGAGAACACUUUCCAUUUUCUCAGAGCGUCUGUCUGCCCCUGCUGAUUUGGAAGAGAGAAAAGGGUGUCUAAGAGUGGAAGAGGUGGUUAUGGUAACUCACAGUGAGACUUCUGGCUGUAAAGCAAAGCUAAUUAUAACAGUACAAGACUGGCAAUACAGGCUAUAAACAGUAUUUUAUGUGUGCCUAAAAUAAAGCACCAGGGCAAAAAAGAGAACAAGCGUUUUAAAGAAACCAAAAAUACACAUUUCCUAUUUUUAUCGUUACACAUUACUAACACAUCAUGAUUAACACAUCCACACACUAAUAUUGUGUUAAUUAAAGAACAAAACUAAAAAAAAAAAAAUUAAAUAAUAAUAAUAAUAAUAAUAAUAAAAUACUUUUAAAAGAUUUAAAAAGGUUUCCUUGCAUGUCAUGUGAGCAUUAACCAACAUCAGAGUACCAUGAAUAUGCCAAUGUUGCUACGUUAUUGAAAUAUUAACUUCUAGGGGUUAGUUUAGGUAAAUAUUUUAUAAAUAUUUUACAUCUAAGGGUUUUGACUGACCAAAAAAUAAAAAAUAAAAGUUUGAGAACACCUGCCAUAAUGCUAUGCACUAAAUUUGGCCUUCUGUUUUCAAUAUUUUAAUGUUUCAAGCAUUAAAAAGCAUACAUUAUUAAUGCAGUACAAUUAACAUGUCUGUACACUAAUAUUGUGUUGAUUAAAGAACAAAAAAACGUAAUAAUAAUAAAAAUAAUAAUAAUAAUGUUUCCUUAAAUUAUUGAAAUAUUAAUUUAAAAUCUGCGAUGGUAUUUCAAUCAAAUAUUUUUAAAUUUUUUUUUUGGGUUUUACUAAAAAUUUAUAAAUAUUUUCUCCCAUAUGAUUCUUUAUCUGAUCAGACUGUGAAAAUAUUUUUACAUCAAAUUAAUUAAUGAAUCAAUUAAAUAAAUGCAAAACAACUAGAGAUGCACAAUAUAUCCAUGCCAUUUUGAUUACUGGUAUUUCUUUACAAUUAUUCUGUAUUAAAUACGGGAUGUUUAAUUGUGCAUGCACAUUUGAUUAUCUUUGCUAUCAUCUAGGCUCACUUAUAAAUGUAAUUAUCCUCAAAAUUCAAAAUAUAACUUUUUUUAUACAUUACAAUGAUGUGAUGCGUAAACUCACCUGUAACACCUAAAACGAUUGGUUUUACUUGUAUUUUCAGUGUUUUGGUUUUACUUGACUAUUGACUAUAGUAUCUGCCAUUCAUUGAUUAUCAGCCAUACCUAAAUUAAUUAUCGGCUUAUCAUUGUCAGUCAGUAUUUACAGUGCAUCCCUAAAAAUAAUUUUAAAUUAUUUUGAUUAUUUUAAAGUUGUCAGAACGUCAGAAAUAGUUACAGCAUACUUUUGUUUGCAAAUUUUGAGUUACAUUCUGUUUUCACAUUUUCUAGCAUCCAUUUUGAAUGGGAAAAAAAAAUACUGUUGUAGCUUGCAAAUAUAUGCAGUACAGUAGUAUUAUAUUCCAAACACACACUUCUUACAGUAUGAAGCAACUCUGCAGUUACAGCCUCGUCACUAAACUGACCACAUAGCAUCUUAAUCAUGUCCGGAAUAUCUGGUGACAGAAUAAUACUUCUAUUUGUGCAUCGUGGUCACACAGACUCACUUAGUUGGCCAUUUUAUCAUGUGAGGGAUUGACACAGGCUCAUAUCUGUGUCUCCGGCACAGCCUGCUUCUACCUUUCCAGGUUUCUGAUUGCAGUGCUUUGUGAGGAGGUUGCAUUUUUCAUUCCCACAACUCUGUGUAAAGCGAUCCCAUCAUUCCUGCAAGUGAAGCCAAAACUGUAGCUAGAACUUGUGCCUGUGUAAUAUCAGCUGCACUCUUACUAAUCCUCAUGUUUUUAUCAUAUAGUGUUUCUGGCACAUAGUCGAGCAGUUGGACCAGACCAAUCACCUCAUGCCUGUUUGACAGCCAUGGUUCUCUGAAAGCAGCAUUUGAAACUUUUGUUUUUUAAAUCGAUUUCAAGGAAACAAUCAGGAAAGUGAGACUGUGGCAAAAAGUUACAUUUUACAACAUUCAAAUGAUUUUUCUUAAACACAUGUCUGGUCUUAUGUUGCACAUUUGACAAAUGAAGACUUGUGAAACUGAAUGUGCACUUAGUAUAGCCUACUUCAGAUGUUAAAGGUGUAUAUUUAUGAACUGUACUGAUAUUUAACUGUUAAUAAACCCACUUAAGUGACUUAAAAAGAGACACUUUAAUGACUGUUUCUUUACACACUUAAGUAAAUUUUUAAAGAAUUAUCAGUUUUAAUAAUCUUUUGUCAACUUUUCAAGUACACUUAUUUUGAUUUUUUAAGCAACAUACUAAAGCAUAUGUAAAGUACUUGAUAAUAAUUGUAACAGUUUUGAACAGCAAUUUUAACUGUAUUUAUAUUAAAUUUCAUAUUUAUAUUUUAAAUCCACUGAAGUGCAACUUCAUCAUUACUAAUGUGUAAUUACAAAUAUAUU
Cyprinus carpio carpio is the source of this 3170-nucleotide long non-coding RNA. Lineage: Eukaryota; Metazoa; Chordata; Actinopteri; Cypriniformes; Cyprinidae. The record is from Ensembl.